CCCCCCCUAAAACGAAAUAUGAAAUGACCUCUUCCCCUAUCGUUAAAGCGUGAGAUACAUUUUUAAAACCAGUGAUUUAAUUCAAAAUAUUUAGUACCUACAUUUUAACACAUGUUAUAAUUCCAAAAUGUUUACUAUUUCUUACAGAUAAAGGGUCCUGUUAGCCCCGACCUGUAACUGACAGUUAGACUUACAGGUUAUGUCGUUGUCUUUUGUUUGUAUUGUUUAUGUGUCCGCUGUGCGGGGAAAAUGAUAAUACAAGCGGAACUACGUAGCUAAUACUGUUGUAACUGGGGAUCCUUAUUGUAGCAACACACUUUUGUAGGGAAGGCAAUCCUGCGCUGCGUUAGCUAAGUUUUCAUGUCAUCGGGUGUAGUUCAUAAAGGUUGAAGAGUGUAUGUUAGGAUGAAGUGUGAAUUCAUGCCAGGAAUAAUAAGUGUGAAGUUUGAUUUCCUCCCUUCUGUAAUAAGCAGCCAAUGAGUUCUCACUGAAGGGGAUAAUUCUCACUGAAACUACAGAAUAAAGCCGCCAGUUAAAAUCAUGGAACGGUUGUGCUCGUGGUUACUGAAGGGAGCUACAAGACCAUUAUUCGUUUCGAAUUCACCAACUCAAAGACGCUUGCCCGCUCCAUCAUAACUCCGUAAGUUUUCCCUCCCUGUGUAGAUCAAACGUCCUGCCUGUAAAUCCUGGGUAUGCCCACAUCAUUAAUGAAUAAGAUGUGUAGAAAACUGUUUAGCCAUAGUUAAAGGCCUUUCAUAAAGAGGCUGUCAUGAUUGCCUGUGCCUCAUGUUUAACACGUAUUGCUUGUUACCGAAUACUACUGUUGUACAUUUAAUAUCUACUAGCCGAUUUCGUCGCAUUUGCACAAAUUCUGUCAUGUUACUGUGGUCUUUUUAAAAGUCAAUAAAUAUGUGUGUAGAGUGUACAUGUUUGUUUCACUGUAGAUCUGUUUAAGACCUCCUAGAAACACCUAAUUUCAUCCCACAGCAUUAAUUAAUAAGCUGUGUAGAAGCUGUUUAGCCAUAAGUAAAGGCCUUUCAUAAAGCAGCUGUCAUGAUUGCAUGUCCCUUAUGUUUAACACGUAUUGCUUGUUACAGAAUACUACUGUUGUACAUUUAAUAUCACCUAGCAGAUUUCGUUGCCUUUGCACAAAUUCUGUCAUGUUACUGUGGUCUUUUUAAAAGUCAAUAAAAAUGUGUGUAAAGUGUCCAUGUUUGUUUCACUGUAUAUUUGUUUAAGCCCUCCUAGAAACACCUAAUUAAAGGCCUUUCAUAAAGAGGCAGUCAUGAUUGCAUGUGCCUCAUGUUUAACACGUAUUGCUUGUUACAGAAUACUACUGUUGUACAUUUAAUAUCCCCUAGCAGAUUUCGUUGCCUUUGCACAAAUUCUGUCAUGUUACUGUGGUCUUUUUAAAAGUCAAUAAAUAUGUGUGUAAAGUGUA
Oncorhynchus nerka (sockeye salmon) is the source of this 1441-nucleotide long non-coding RNA. RefSeq lists it as uncharacterized. The transcript is spliced from 2 exons. Lineage: Eukaryota; Metazoa; Chordata; Actinopteri; Salmoniformes; Salmonidae. The record is from RefSeq and is a predicted model, not a curated record.